UGGGGAAUAUUGCACAAUGGGCGAAAGCCUGGUGCAGCAACGCCGCGUGAGUGAUGACGGUCUUCGGAUUGUAAAGCUCUGUCUUUGGGGACGAUAAUGACGGUACCCAAGGAGGAAGCCACGGCUAACUACGUGCCAGCAGCCGCGGUAAUACGUAGGUGGCAAGCGUUGUCCGGAUUUACUGGGCGUAAAGGGUGCGUAGGCGGACCUUUAAGUGAGAUGUGAAAUCCCCGAGCUUAACUUGGGGGCUGCAUUUCAAACUGGAGUCUAGGAGGGAAGAGGAGGGAGGGGAAAUCCUAGUGGAGGCGGGGAAAGGCGAAGGAAUUAGGAAGACCACAGGGGGGAAGGGCACUCCCUGGGCUGGUAACGGCCGCUGGGCAACAAAAGGGGGGGAGCAAACGG
Molecule: ribosomal RNA, 402 nt
Filed under: uncultured bacterium
Lineage: Bacteria
Description: bacterial SSU rRNA
Rfam family: Bacterial small subunit ribosomal RNA
Source: RNAcentral